UACGUAGGGGGCUAGCGUUGUCCGGAAUCAUUGGGCGUAAAGAGCGUGUAGGCUGCUCGGUAAGUCCGCUGUAAAAGUCAAAGGCUCAACCUUUGAAUGUCAGUGGAUACUGCCGGGCUAGAGUCCGGAAGAGGCGAGUGGAACUCCUGGUGUAGCGGUGGAAUGCGUAGAGAUCCGGAGGAACACCAGUGGCGAAGGCGACACGCUGGGCCGUACCUGACGCUAAAGCGCGACAGCAUGGGGAGCAAACGGG
This 253-nucleotide ribosomal RNA is filed under the name uncultured bacterium. RNAcentral's name for it is "partial 16S ribosomal RNA". It matches the Rfam family "Bacterial small subunit ribosomal RNA", at positions 524 to 776 of the family's 1533-position model. The record is from RNAcentral.